This 1372-nucleotide ribosomal RNA is filed under the name uncultured bacterium. Its description in RNAcentral is "bacterial SSU rRNA". It matches the Rfam family "Bacterial small subunit ribosomal RNA", at positions 28 to 1381 of the family's 1533-position model. The record is from RNAcentral.
GAUGAACGCUGGCGGCGUGCCUAAUACAUGCAAGUCGAGCGAACAGAUAAGGAGCUUGCUCCUUUGACGUUAGCGGCGGACGGGUGAGUAACACGUGGGUAACCUACCUAUAAGACUGGGAUAACUUCGGGAAACCGGAGCUAAUACCGGAUAAUAUUUCGAACCGCAUGGUUCGAUAGUGAAAGAUGGCCCUGCUAUCACUUAUAGAUGGACCUGCGCCGUAUUAGCUAGUUGGUAAGGUAACGGCUUACCAAGGCAACGAUACGUAGCCGACCUGAGAGGGUGAUCGGCCGCACUGGAACUGAGACACGGUCCAGACUCCUACGGGAGGCAGCAGUAGGGAAUCUUCCGCAAUGGGCGAAAGCCUGACGGAGCAACGCCGCGUGAGUGAUGAAGGUCUUCGGAUCGUAAAACUCUGUUAUUAGGGAAGAACAAACGUGUAAGUAACUGUGCACGUCUUGACGGUACCUAAUCAGAAAGCCACGGCUAACUACGUGCCAGCAGCCGCGGUAAUACGUAGGUGGCAAGCGUUAUCCGGAAUUAUUGGGCGUAAAGCGCGCGUAGGCGGUUUUUUAAGUCUGAUGUGAAAGCCCACGGCUCAACCGUGGAGGGUCAUUGGAAACUGGGAAACUUGAGUGCAGAAGAGGAAAGUGGAAUUCCAUGUGUAGCGGUGAAAUGCGCAGAGAUAUGGAGGAACACCAGUGGCGAAGGCGACUUUCUGGUCUGUAACUGACGCUGAUGUGCGAAAGCGUGGGGAUCAAACAGGAUUAGAUACCCUGGUAGUCCACGCCGUAAACGAUGAGUGCUAAGUGUUAGGGGGUUUCCGCCCCUUAGUGCUGCAGCUAACGCAUUAAGCACUCCGCCUGGGGAGUACGACCGCAAGGUUGAAACCCAAAGGAAUUGACGGGGACCCGCACAAGCGGUGGAGCAUGUGGUUUAAUUCGAAGCAACGCGAAGAACCUUACCAAAUCUUGACAUCCUUUGACCCUUCUAGAGAUAGAAGUUUCCCCUUCGGGGGACAAAGUGACAGGUGGUGCAUGGUUGUCGUCAGCUCGUGUCGUGAGAUGUUGGGUUAAGUCCCGCAACGAGCGCAACCCUUAAGCUUAGUUGCCAUCAUUAAGUUGGGCACUCUAAGUUGACUGCCGGUGACAAACCGGAGGAAGGUGGGGAUGACGUCAAAUCAUCAUGCCCCUUAUGAUUUGGGCUACACACGUGCUACAAUGGACAAUACAAAGGGCAGCGAAACCGCGAGGUCAAGCAAAUCCCAUAAAGUUGUUCUCAGUUCGGAUUGUAGUCUGCAACUCGACUACAUGAAGCUGGAAUCGCUAGUAAUCGUAGAUCAGCAUGCUACGGUGAAUACGUUCCCGGGUCU